Long non-coding RNA from Calidris pugnax (ruff), 1743 nucleotides. RefSeq lists it as uncharacterized. The record is from RefSeq and is a predicted model, not a curated record. The transcript is spliced from 2 exons. Lineage: Eukaryota; Metazoa; Chordata; Aves; Charadriiformes; Scolopacidae.
UGGUGUUUUCUUGCCUGUUUUGAGCCGAUCUGCGAAACGAUAAAAAGUAAGAAGCUCUACAGUGAAUUUUCCACCUCCCCACCUUCUGACAAUACCUAACCACAGCUUCUCCAUGUAGUUUCCUUGUUGUUGCGUGAAGGGGAACCUCAGCCUCCCCAGUGUCCUGAGUGUGUGUUUUCUCUCCCCAGCAGUCCCCUCAGUCUCGCUGGCUGACGACGGAGGAGAGGAGCCAACUCCUGCUCCAUCUCAAAGCUUCGGGCUGGGCUGAGCUGGGCGAAAGAGAUGCCAUCUACAAAGAGUUCAAUUUCAAAAAUUUUAAUCAGACAGUAGUUGUCACAGUAAAGAAAGCCCAGGCAGUGGAGAGAAGGUGGGUGAGUUGCCCUCAAGCCCCUCUGAGCUGAGAGAAAGCGAAAGAGAAAAGAACUGCAGAAAAAGCCAGCUCACGAGCAGGAGAGUGCUGGGCUGGGUGGCACAUCUGGAGCCUCCUGUACAUUUUUUUCCUGGAUUUCACUUCAAACCUGGACGCUAAUACAGAACAAUUCAGAUAAUUCAGAGGGUAACGCAGGAGGGAAGCCCAUGAGAGGGAGCUCACAUGAAACCUUGGUGAGAUACGCAGGCAGCUCGGGGCUGGAGCAACCAGGAGAGAACAGCACCUUUGAUAAAAGAGCUGAGAUUUUCAGCCUUUGUGUUUUGAAUCUUCAUGAAACGACAUCUCUGCUGAGGCACGGUCAAAGCCUUUGCUGUUCAGCACAACUGGAAAUUACUUCUUUGUCCCCAAAGUUAAUAAAAACGUGGUUUUGCACACUGCAAUUAAGUAAGUCUGCUUGAUCAGGUGGACUUAGGCAGUCAGGCAGCAGAUAGGUCAAGAGAUUAAUCGGUGUGACCCGACAGCAGAUACCUAGAGAACCCAUUGUUUUGGCAAAAAAUUACAAAGUUGGGGUUAUUUUUGACUGUGUACAUUUAUCUUACAAAACAGGUAGAUAUUCAUAUGUCUUCCUAAUUUAAAGACCGAUACCAGUGUAGGAAAUGGAAUAUAUUUGAAUAGUCUUAUUAUUAAAUCUUGAAGUAUAAAUUUAUAUUACUAGUACGUGUCAUCUUAAAGAGGGUAAUCUUAAAAAUAAAUGUAAUUUGGAUUGUUUGGGAGAUGUUGGCACAGGCUCUGUCGCCCCUGGUUACCCCUCACGGGUGUCGGGUAAGGCAGAAAUGAGAGCAGAGGCUGAGAAUUGGCUUCAAAACUGAGCUUUCUGCCCCCAGCAGCUGGGUGGGUGGGAUGCUCUGGGCAGCUCUGGCUGGGUCAGGGUUCUAUGUGAACAUCCGAGGGCAGAAAUUUCAGUGAAUUUCAGUGAAAUUCAGUGAAUUUCACCUGCUGAUUCCGAGGAACCAGCUCCCUCCUCCCCAUUUGUGGUCGUUUGGGGCAGAAGCCGUCCCUGGUAUCGUAGUCAAAAGGGCUCAAGGUGCAGCUCCCGAGGGGAUGCUCAGAGCUGGUAUCACAGAGGGAGUAUUUGCCUUUCAAUAAGUUGAAGCUGGAAGUAAAUUAAAAUUAUGCAUGUAUGCUUAUUGAUGGUUAUAUUUGUAAUAGCUUUUAGUAAAUACUGUGUUUAUUAUGACCUAGGGAGCAAACAACCAAAGCAGACCUGUAUACCUGCACUGUACUUUGGGGGAAUUUAGUCCUGCAAGGAAAAAAAGUUGAACUUGUAGGUACAACUUCUUUCAUUUCACAUAAUAAAUAUUCUAUUUGCUUUA